RNAcentral lists this ribosomal RNA (257 nucleotides) under uncultured bacterium. Its description in RNAcentral is "partial 16S ribosomal RNA". It matches the Rfam family "Bacterial small subunit ribosomal RNA", at positions 793 to 1055 of the family's 1533-position model. The record is from RNAcentral.
GUCCACGCCGUAAACGAUGAUCACUCGUGAUUGGCGAUAUACGGUCAGUCACCUAGCGAAAGCGUUAAGUGAUCCACCUGGGGAGUACGAUCGCAAGAUUGAAACUCAAAGGAAUUGACGGGGGCCCGCACAAGCGGUGGAGCAUGUGGUUUAAUUCGAUGAUACGCGAGGAACCUUACCAGGGCUCGAACGCACGUUGACAGGGGUGGAAACAUCCUCUUCUUCGGACAACGUGCGAGGUGCUGCAUGGCUGUCGU